UACGUAGGGUGCAAGCGUUGUCCGGAUUUAUUGGGCGUAAAGAGCUCGUAGGCGGUCUGUCGCGUCGGAUGUGAAAACCCAGGGCUCAACCCUGGGCCUGCAUUCGAUACGGGCAGACUAGAGUACGGCAGGGGAGACUGGAAUUCCUGGUGUAGCGGUGAAAUGCGUAGAUAUCGUGAGGAAGACCAGUGGCGAAGGCGAAUCUCUGGACAGUAACUGACGCUGAGGCACGAAGGCUAGGGGAGCAAACGGG
RNAcentral lists this ribosomal RNA (253 nucleotides) under uncultured bacterium. RNAcentral's name for it is "partial 16S ribosomal RNA". It matches the Rfam family "Bacterial small subunit ribosomal RNA", at positions 524 to 776 of the family's 1533-position model. The record is from RNAcentral.